UACGUAGGGGGCAAGCGUUGUCCGGAAUCAUUGGGCGUAAAGAGCGUGUAGGUGGCCCGGUCAGUCCGCCGUGAAAGUCCAGGGCUCAACCCUGGAAUGCCGGUGGAUACUGCCGGGCUGGAGUCCGGAAGAGGCGAGUGGAAUUCCUGGUGUAGCGGUGGAAUGCGCAGAUAUCAGGAGGAACACCAAUAGCGAAGGCAGCUCGCUGGGACGGUACUGACGCUAAGGCGCGAAAGCGUGGGGAGCGAACAGG
RNAcentral lists this ribosomal RNA (253 nucleotides) under uncultured bacterium. RNAcentral describes it as "partial 16S ribosomal RNA". It matches the Rfam family "Bacterial small subunit ribosomal RNA", at positions 524 to 776 of the family's 1533-position model. The record is from RNAcentral.